Molecule: ribosomal RNA, 737 nt
Filed under: uncultured archaeon
Lineage: Archaea
Description: bacterial SSU rRNA
Rfam family: Archaeal small subunit ribosomal RNA
Source: RNAcentral
GGGGUGCAGCAGGCGCGAAACCUCUACAAUGCACGAAAGUGUGAUAGGGGGAUUCUACGUGCAGACUUUGUCUGCUUUUCUCAAGUCCAAAACGCUUGGGGAAUAAGGGCUGGGCAAGACCCGUGCCAGCCGCCGCGGUAACACGGGCAGCUCGAGUAGCGUUCGCGAAUAUUGGGCCUAAAGCGUACGUAGCCGGCUGAAAAAGUUCUUGGUGAAAGCAUGCGACUUAAUCGUGUGAAUUGCCAGGAAAACUAUUCGGCUUGGGACCGGGAUGGGUCGGAGGUAUUUCCGGGGUAGGGGUAAAAUCCUGUAAUCCAGGAAGGACCAUCGGUGGCGAAGGCGUCCGACUGGAACGGGUCCGACGGUGAGGUACGAAAGCUAGGGGAGCGACCCGGAUUAGAUACCCGGUUAGUCCUAGCCGUAAAUGAUGCAGGUUUGGUAUUGCACUUCUUACGAGGAAUUGCAGUGCCGUAGGGAAGCCGUUAAACCUGCCGCCUGGGGAGUACGGCCGCAAGGCUGAAACUUAAAGGAAUUGGCGGGGGAGUACUACAAGGGGUGGAGGCUGCGGUUUAAUUGGAUACAACGCCGGACAACUCAUCAGGGAAGACAGCACUAUGAUGGUCAGCCUAAAGGGCUUACUUGAGGCGCUGAGAGGUGGUGCAUGGCCAUCGCCAGCUCGUGCAGUGAUGUGUCCUGUUAAGUCAGGCAACGAGCGAGACCCGCACUUCCAGUUGCUA